Molecule: ribosomal RNA, 700 nt
Filed under: uncultured bacterium
Lineage: Bacteria
Description: bacterial SSU rRNA
Rfam family: Bacterial small subunit ribosomal RNA
Source: RNAcentral
AGUGGCGGACGGGUGAGUAACGCGUAAGAAUCUAACUUCAGGACGGGGACAACAGUGGGAAACGACUGCUAAUACCCGAUGUGCCGCAAGGUGAAACCUAAUUGGCCUGGAGAAGAGCUUGCGUCUGAUUAGCUAGUUGGUGGGGUAAAGGCCUACCAAGGCGACGAUCAGUAGCUGGUCUGAGAGGAUGAGCAGCCACACUGGGACUGAGACACGGCCCAGACUCCUACGGGAGGCAGCAGUGGGGAAUUUUCCGCAAUGGGCGAAAGCCUGACGGAGCAACGCCGCGUGAGGGAGGAAGGUCUUUGGAUUGUAAACCUCUUUUCUCAAGGAAGAAGCUCUGACGGUACUUGAGGAAUCAGCCUCGGCUAACUCCGUGCCAGCAGCCGCGGUAAUACGGGGGAGGCAAGCGUUAUCCGGAAUUAUUGGGCGUAAAGCGUCCGCAGGUGGUCAGCCAAGUCUGCCGUCAAAUCAGGUUGCUUAACGACCUAAAGGCGGUGGAAACUGGCAGACUAGAGAGCAGUAGGGGUAGCAGGAAUUCCCAGUGUAGCGGUGAAAUGCGUAGAGAUUGGGAAGAACAUCGGUGGCGAAAGCGUGCUACUGGGCUGUAUCUGACACUCAGGGACGAAAGCUAGGGGAGCGAGAGGGAUUAGAUACCCCUGUAGUCCUAGCCGUAAACGAUGGAUACUAGGCGUGGCUU